RNAcentral lists this small nuclear RNA (164 nucleotides) under Physeter macrocephalus (sperm whale). Its description in RNAcentral is "Physeter catodon (sperm whale) U1 spliceosomal RNA (ENSPCTG00005008320.1)". It matches the Rfam family "U1 spliceosomal RNA". From Rfam's summary of the family: U1 is a small nuclear RNA (snRNA) component of the spliceosome (involved in pre-mRNA splicing). Lineage: Eukaryota; Metazoa; Chordata; Mammalia; Artiodactyla; Physeteridae. The record is from Rfam by way of RNAcentral.
AUACUUACCUGGCAGGGGAGAUACCAUGAUCACAGAGUUGGUUUUCCCAGGGCGAGGCUUAUCCAUUGUACUCUGGAUGUGUUGACCCCCGCGAUUUCCCCAAAUGUGGAAAACUCGACUGCAUAAUUUGUGGUAGUGGGGGACUGUGUUCAUGCUCUCCCCUG